This 72-nucleotide transfer RNA is filed under the name Camelus bactrianus (Bactrian camel). It matches the Rfam family "tRNA". Rfam says of the family: Transfer RNA (tRNA) molecules are approximately 80 nucleotides in length. Lineage: Eukaryota; Metazoa; Chordata; Mammalia; Artiodactyla; Camelidae. The record is from Rfam by way of RNAcentral. RNAcentral also lists the same sequence under 2 other names.
GGAGGUAUAGUUGAGUGGUAAAGCGUGCACUUGAUAUGCACGAGGUCCUGGGUUCAAUCCCCAGUGGCUCCG